GUGGGUGCGAGCUGGCGCUGGAAUGGGAGCCAAGAGCGAGUGAGCGGGGAGGGGGCGCGGGAGACACCCAGGUGUCGCAUGGCGGGGUCCACGCGGUGACCUGCCUGGGAGCACAGAUUGCACGAGUCUGCGCUAGGGCACCCCAGUCAGUCCCCGGUUCCCCACGCACACCCGGGGAAGGCCCGCCCUGCCCGCUGAGCGCUGUUUUCUCCAGGUCCCGGGCCGAUGUCCCAGGUGAGCGGUCAGUGCCCUGCUCUGUGCGACGCGCCCCAUGGAGUCCCCAGCGCUACCCCGGACCCAGCCCAGACCAUAUCCCUUCUCCCUGGGCUGGAGGUAGCAGCAGGAUCCACUCACCCUGCAGACGCAUCAUCAGAAGAGGGCUCCCCAGAGGAGGUGGUACCCUCCAUGCCCCAAGACAGUGGUCCUGGGGCUCACCGGGCUCUGAACAGCACUGACCUCGAUGUUCACACAGAAGCUGUGACGUGCCAGCCUCAGGGGAACCCCUUAGGCUGCACCCCAUUACUGCCAAACGGCUCCGACCAUAGCCACCCCUCAGAACUGGGCAGUGCCGGGCAUGCGGGGAACGGUGCCCCGGGAGGCCCCAAAGCCCACCGGAAGUUGCAGACACACCCAUCUCUGGGCAGCCAGACCGGGAGGAAGAGCAAAGGCAGCACUCGGUCAACUUCCCAGGUCCCCCUCCAGGCACAAGAAGACUGCUGCGUCCACUGCAUCCUGUCCUGUCUGUUCUGUGAGUUCCUGACACUCUGCAACAUUGUCCUGGACUGCGCCACCUGCGGUUCCUGCAGCUCCGAGGACUCCUGCCUCUGCUGCUGCUGCUGCGGCUCAGGCGAGUGCGCCGACUGCGACCUGCCCUGCGACCUGGACUGUGGCAUUGUGGACGCCUGCUGCGAGUCGGCAGACUGCCUGGAGAUCUGCAUGGAGUGCUGUGGACUCUGCUUCUCCUCCUGAUGCCACAGAACAGCCUUAGAGCUGCCACACGAAGCUUGACACCUCCCCUGACCCCAGGGCCCCCUCAGAAUCCCAGCCCAGAUGUGAGAAAGUGGGAAGGCCAGAGGAGCCAUCUCAGCCGCGGAACAGGUCCGUUACCCACAAGCCUGCUCUCCUCGGUGGGUGACCUGGAACGUGGCCUCUAGAACCGGGUGUCAGCCUCCCUCGGCUACCCCAGCUCAGAAGACAGAAAAUGUGAAAAGACACCUGCCCGGCCCAUUGUCAGCCCCUAC
Arvicola amphibius (Eurasian water vole) is the source of this 1241-nucleotide RNA transcript. It is a transcript of the gene named MyoD family inhibitor, with no coding region annotated. The record is from RefSeq and is a predicted model, not a curated record. The transcript has 5 exons. NCBI's taxonomy places the organism in Eukaryota, Metazoa, Chordata, Mammalia, Rodentia, Cricetidae.